Molecule: ribosomal RNA, 252 nt
Filed under: uncultured bacterium
Lineage: Bacteria
Description: partial 16S ribosomal RNA
Rfam family: Bacterial small subunit ribosomal RNA
Source: RNAcentral
GGACGGGUGAGUAAUGUCUGGGAAACUGCCUGAUGGAGGGGGAUAACUACUGGAAACGGUAGCUAAUACCGCAUAAUGUCGCAAGACCAAAGAGGGGGACCUUCGGGCCUCUUGCCAUCGGAUGUGCCCAGAUGGGAUUGGCUUGUUGGUGGGGUAACGGCUCACCAAGGCGACGAUCCCUAGCUGGUCUGAGAGGAUGACCAGCCACACUGGAACUGAGACACGGUCCAGACUCCUACGGGAGGCAGCAUG